CUGAUGUUAGCGGCGGACGGGUGAGUAACACGUGGGUAACCUGCCUGUAAGACUGGGAUAACUCCGGGAAACCGGGGCUAAUACCGGAUGGUUGUUUGAACCGCAUGGUUCAAACAUAAAAGGUGGCUUCGGCUACCACUUACAGAUGGACCCGCGGCGCAUUAGCUAGUUGGUGAGGUAACGGCUCACCAAGGCAACGAUGCGUAGCCGACCUGAGAGGGUGAUCGGCCACACUGGGACUGAGACACGGCCCAGACUCCUACGGGAGGCAGCAGUAGGGAAUCUUCCGCAAUGGACGAAAGUCUGACGGAGCAACGCCGCGUGAGUGAUGAAGGUUUUCGGAUCGUAAAGCUCUGUUGUUAGGGAAGAACAAGUACCGUUCGAAUAGGGCGGUACCUUGACGGUACCUAACCAGAAAGCCACGGCUAACUACGUGCCAGCAG
Molecule: ribosomal RNA, 443 nt
Filed under: Bacillus subtilis
Lineage: Bacteria; Bacillati; Bacillota; Bacilli; Caryophanales; Bacillaceae
Description: bacterial SSU rRNA
Rfam family: Bacterial small subunit ribosomal RNA
Source: RNAcentral